Molecule: ribosomal RNA, 445 nt
Filed under: uncultured Pseudomonadaceae bacterium
Lineage: Bacteria; Pseudomonadati; Pseudomonadota; Gammaproteobacteria; Pseudomonadales; Pseudomonadaceae
Description: SSU rRNA
Rfam family: Bacterial small subunit ribosomal RNA
Source: RNAcentral
CACAUGCAAGUCGAGCGGAUGAAGGGAGCUUGCUCCUGGAUUCAGCGGCGGACGGGUGAGUAAUGCCUAGGAAUCUGCCUGGUAGUGGGGGAUAACGUCCGGAAACGGGCGCUAAUACCGCAUACGUCCUGAGGGAGAAAGUGGGGGAUCUUCGGACCUCACGCUAUCAGAUGAGCCUAGGUCGGAUUAGCUAGUUGGUGGGGUAAAGGCCUACCAAGGCGACGAUCCGUAACUGGUCUGAGAGGAUGAUCAGUCACACUGGAACUGAGACACGGUCCAGACUCCUACGGGAGGCAGCAGUGGGGAAUAUUGGACAAUGGGCGAAAGCCUGAUCCAGCCAUGCCGCGUGUGUGAAGAAGGUCUUCGGAUUGUAAAGCACUUUAAGUUGGGAGGAAGGGCAGUAAGUUAAUACCUUGCUGUUUUGACGUUACCAACAGAAUAAGCA